AAUUACUGAUAUGCAAGAAAUUGGUAAUAACUGACCAAUAUUGCUCUCUGUAAUGACCCCUCGCAUAAAAAUUGUACAAAGUCAAUGACUCAACAUAAUAUUCCUAGAUCCCUUUUGUCCUGUAGUUAAAACUGAAAUAAUACCGAGACUUAAGUCAACAAUAUUGUUUAUUUGAUCUUUUAUGUAGGCUUUCAACAAUGACGUGCUAUGAAUCACUAACGUGAAGUGGUAAAUAUGACAGUAAUAAAACUGAAAUUUUGCCCGUGAACACAUGCACUAUGUAGCAGACCAAAUACUUGUAAACC
RNAcentral lists this long non-coding RNA (305 nucleotides) under Triticum aestivum (bread wheat). RNAcentral's name for it is "long non-coding RNA (TAES_LNC006027)". The record is from RNAcentral. Lineage: Eukaryota; Viridiplantae; Streptophyta; Magnoliopsida; Poales; Poaceae.